Molecule: ribosomal RNA, 253 nt
Filed under: uncultured bacterium
Lineage: Bacteria
Description: partial 16S ribosomal RNA
Rfam family: Bacterial small subunit ribosomal RNA
Source: RNAcentral
GACGGAGGAUGCAAGUGUUAUCCGGAAUUAUUGGGCGUAAAGCGUCUGUAGGUGGUUUAAAAAGUCUACGGUUAAAAAUUGAAGCUUAGCUUCAAAAGUGCCGUGGAAACUUUUAAACUUGAGUAUGGUAGGGGUAAAGGGAAUUUCCAGUGGAGCGGUGAAAUGCGUAGAUAUUGGAAAGACCACCGAUGGCGAAGGCACUUUACUGGGCCAUUACUGACACUAAGAGACGAAAGCUAGGGGAGCAAAUGGG